RNAcentral lists this ribosomal RNA (464 nucleotides) under Clostridium perfringens. RNAcentral's name for it is "partial 23S ribosomal RNA". It matches the Rfam family "Bacterial large subunit ribosomal RNA", at positions 729 to 1192 of the family's 2925-position model. Lineage: Bacteria; Bacillati; Bacillota; Clostridia; Eubacteriales; Clostridiaceae. The record is from RNAcentral.
CCUAUCCAUGGCCAGGUUGAAGCGAGGGUAAAACCUCGUGGAGGACCGAACCACGUUGCUGUUGAAAAAGCAUGGGAUGAGCUGUGGAUAGCGGAGAAAUUCCAAUCGAACCCGGAGAUAGCUGGUUCUCUCCGAAAUAGCUUUAGGGCUAGCGUCGAGUAUGAGUAGUGGAGGUAGAGCACUGAAUGGGCUAGGGGGCAUAGCGCUUACCGAACCUUAUCAAACUCCGAAUGCCACAUACUUUGAGCUCGGCAGUCAGACUACGAAUGAUAAGAUCCGUGGUCAAAAGGGAAACAGCCCAGAUCGUCAGCUAAGGUCCCAAAGUGUAAGUUAAGUGGGAAAGGAUGUGAGAUUUCUAAGACAACUAGGAUGUUGGCUUAGAAGCAGCCAUUCAUUAAAAGAGUGCGUAAUAGCUCACUAGUCGAGAGAUCUUGCGCCGAAAAUGUAACGGGGCUAAACUUACC